Molecule: ribosomal RNA, 434 nt
Filed under: uncultured bacterium
Lineage: Bacteria
Description: partial 16S ribosomal RNA
Rfam family: Bacterial small subunit ribosomal RNA
Source: RNAcentral
AGCGAACGCUGGCGGCAGGCCUAACACAUGCAAGUCGAACGAACCUUUCGGGGUUAGUGGCGGACGGGUGAGUAACACGUGGGAACGUGCCUUUAGGUUCGGAAUAACUCAGGGAAACUUGUGCUAAUACCGAAUGUGCCCUUCGGGGGAAAGAUUUAUCGCCGUUAGAGCGGCCCGCGUCUGAUUAGCUAGUUGGUUGAGGUAAUGGCUCACCAAGGCGACGAUCAGUAGCUGGUCUGAGAGGAUGAUCAGCCACAUUGGGACUGAGACACGGCCCAAACUCCUACGGGAGGCAGCAGUGGGGGAUCUUGCGCAAUGGGCGAAAGGCUGACGCAGCCAUGCCGCGUGAAUGAUGAAGGUCUUAGGAUUGUAAAAUUCUUUCACCGGGGACGAUAAUGACGGUACCCGGAGAAGAAGCCCCGGCUAACUUCGUG